This 557-nucleotide ribosomal RNA is filed under the name uncultured marine eukaryote. RNAcentral's name for it is "SSU rRNA". It matches the Rfam family "Eukaryotic small subunit ribosomal RNA", at positions 614 to 1171 of the family's 1831-position model. The record is from RNAcentral.
UGCGGUUAAAAAGCUCGUAGUUGGAUCUCGGCAGGUAGGGGGCGGUUCGUUUCUGACGGCACUGCCCCAUUUACCUGUGUUUUUGACGGAGGUCUCAAGGUGGCUUUAAUCGGCUGUCUUGGUACGCCGUCAGGUUUACUUUGAAAAAAUUAGAGUGCUCAAAGCAGGCUACAAAGCUUGAAUAUUUGUGCAUGGAAUAAUGGAAUAGGAAGUCGUUUCUAUUUUUUUGGUUUUCGGAAAUUGACUUAAUGAUUAAUAGGGACAGCCGGGGGCAUUAGUACUCAGACGACAGAGGUGAAAUUCUUGGACCGUUUGAGGACUAACUACUGCGUAAGCAUUUGCCAAGAGUGUUUUCAUUAAUCAAGAAUGAAAGUUAGAGGUUCGAAGGCGAUCAGAUACCGCCCUAGUUCUAACCAUAAACGAUGCUGACUAGCGAUCCGUAGCUGUUUUCUAUGUAUAGCUCUACGGGAAGCUUCCGGGAAACCAAAGUUUUUGAGUUCCGGGGGAAGUAUGGUUGCCAAGCUGAAACUUAAAGGAAUUGACCGAAGGGCACCACC